AACGAACGCUGGCGGCAUGCCUAACACAUGCAAGUCGAACGAGACCUUCGGGUCUAGUGGCGCACGGGUGCGUAACGCGUGGGAACCUGCCCUUAGGUUCGGAAUAACUCCCCGAAAGGGGUGCUAAUACCGGAUAAUGUUUUCGGACCAAAGAUUUAUCGCCUUUGGAUGGGCCCGCGUUGGAUUAGCGAGUUGGUAGGGUAAAAGGCUACCAAGGCGACGAUCCAUAGCUGGGCUGAGAGGAUGAUCAGCCACACUGGGACUGAGACACGGCCCAGACUCCUACGGGAGGCAGCAGUGGGGAAUAUUGGACAAUGGGCGAAAGGCUGAUCCAGCAAUGCCGCGUGAGUGAUGAAGGCCUUAGGGUUGUAAAGCUCUUUUACCCGGGAUGAUAAUGACAGUACCGGGAGAAUAAGCUCCGGCUAACUCCGUG
RNAcentral lists this ribosomal RNA (433 nucleotides) under uncultured bacterium. RNAcentral describes it as "partial 16S ribosomal RNA". It matches the Rfam family "Bacterial small subunit ribosomal RNA", at positions 29 to 507 of the family's 1533-position model. The record is from RNAcentral.